GAUGAACGCUGGCGGCGUGCCUAAUACAUGCAAGUCGAGCGAACGGACGAGAAGCUUGCUUCUCUGAUGUUAGCGGCGGACGGGUGAGUAACACGUGGAUAACCUACCUAUAAGACUGGGAUAACUUCGGGAAACCGGAGCUAAUACCGGAUAAUAUUUUGAACCGCAUGGUUCAAAAGUAAAAGACGGUCUUGCUGUCACUUAUAGAUGGAUCCGCGCUGCAUUAGCUAGUUGGUAAGGUAACGGCUUACCAAGGCAACGAUGCAUAGCCGACCUGACAGGGUGAUCGGCCACACUGGAACUGAGACACGGUCCAGACUCCUACGGGAGGCAGCAGUAGGGAAUCUUCCGCAAUGGGCGAAAGCAUGACGGAGCAACGCCGCGUGAGUGAUGAAGGUCUUCGGAUCGUAAAACUCUGUUAUUAGGGAAGAACAUAUGUGUAAGUAACUGUGCACAUCUUGACGGUACCUAAUCAGAAAGCCACGGCUAACUACGUG
This 497-nucleotide ribosomal RNA is filed under the name uncultured bacterium. RNAcentral describes it as "partial 16S ribosomal RNA". It matches the Rfam family "Bacterial small subunit ribosomal RNA", at positions 28 to 507 of the family's 1533-position model. The record is from RNAcentral.